CGAAGGUAGCAUAAUCAGUAGUCUUUUAAUUGAAGGCUUGUAUGAAUGGUUGGACGAAAUAUUAACUGUUUCAUUUAAAAUUUUUAUAGAAUUUUAUUUUUUAGUCAAAAAGCUAAAAUAUAAUUAAAAGACGAGAAGACCCUAUAAAUCUUGAUAUUUAAAUUGAUUUUAAUUAUAAAGAUUAAUUAAAUUAUAAUUAGUUAAAAUAUUUUAUUGGGGUGAUAUUAAAAUUUAAAAAACUUUUAAUUUUGUUUUUACAUUAAUUUAUGAUUUUAUGAUCCAUUAAUAAUGAUUAAAAAUUUAAGUUACUUUAGGGAUAACAGCGUAAUUUUUUUGGAGAGUUCAUAUUGAUAAAAAAGAUUGCGACCUCGAUGUUGGAUUAA
This 383-nucleotide ribosomal RNA is filed under the name Lindneromyia dorsalis. RNAcentral's name for it is "partial 16S ribosomal RNA". Lineage: Eukaryota; Metazoa; Arthropoda; Insecta; Diptera; Platypezidae. The record is from RNAcentral.